AGAGUUUGAUCCUGGCUCAGGAUGAACGCUGGCGGUAUGCUUAACACAUGCAAGUCGAACGGGAUGCUUAGGCAUCUAGUGGCGGACGGGUGAGUAACGCGUGAGAAUCUGGCUCCAGGUCGGGGAUAACAGUUGGAAACGACUGCUAAUACCGGAUGUGCCGAGAGGUGAAAGAUUUAUCGCCUGGAGAUGAGCUCGCGUCUGAUUAGCUAGUUGGUGGUGUAAGGGACCACCAAGGCGUCGAUCAGUAGCUGGUCUGAGAGGAUGAUCAGCCACACUGGGACUGAGACACGGCCCAGACUCCUACGGGAGGCAGCAGUGGGGAAUUUUCCGCAAUGGGCGAAAGCCUGACGGAGCAAUACCGCGUGAGGGAGGAAGGCUCUUGGGUCGUAAACCUCUUUUCUCAAGGAAGAAGAAAGUGACGGUACUUGAGGAAUAAGCAUCGGCUAACUCCGUGCCAGCAGCCGCGGUAAUACGGAGGAUGCAACCGUUAUCCGGAAUGAUUGGGCGUAAAGGGUCUGCAGGUGGAACUGAAAGUCUGCUGUUAAAGAGUUUGGCUUAACCAAAUAAAAGCGGUGGAAACUACAGAACUAGAGUGUGGUAGGGGCAAAAGGAAUUCCUGGUGUAGCGGUGAAAUGCGUAGAUAUCAGGAAGAACACCGGUGGCGAAAGCGUUUUGCUAGACCAUAACUGACACUGAGGGACGAAAGCUAGGGGAGCGAAUGGGAUUAGAUACCCCAGUAGUCCUAGCCGUAAACGAUGGAUACUAGGCGUGGCUUGUAUCGACCCGAGCCGUGCCGGAGCUAACGCGUUAAGUAUCCCGCCUGGGGAGUACGCACGCAAGUGUGAAACUCAAAGGAAUUGACGGGGGCCCGCACAAGCGGUGGAGUAUGUGGUUUAAUUCGAUGCAACGCGAAGAACCUUACCAAGACUUGACAUCCUGCGAAUCCCGGUGAAAGCUGGGAGUGCCUUAGGGAGCGCAGAGACAGGUGGUGCAUGGCUGUCGUCAGCUCGUGUCGUGAGAUGUUGGGUUAAGUCCCGCAACGAGCGCAACCCUCGUUUUUAGUUGCCAGCAUUAAGUUGGGCACUCUAGAGAGACUGCCGGUGACAAACCGGAGGAAGGUGAGGAUGACGUCAAGUCAGCAUGCCCCUUACGUCUUGGGCUACACACGUACUACAAUGCUACGGACAGAGGGCAGCGAGCCAGGGAUGGCAAGCGAAUCCAGAAACCGUAGCUCAGUUCAGAUCGAAGGCUGCAACUCGCCUUCGUGAAGGAGGAAUCGCUAGUAAUUGCAGGUCAGCAUACUGCAGUGAAUUCGUUCCCGGGCCUUGUACACACCGCCCGUCACACCAUGGAAGUUGGUCACGCCCGAAGUCAUUACCCCAACCGAAAGGAGGGGGAUGCCUAAGGUAGGACUGGUGACUGGGGUGAAGUCGUAACAAGGUAGCCGUACCGGAAGGUGUGGCUGGAUCACCUCCUUUUAGGGAGACCUACCCAUUGAGGAAUCAAAAGCCGCAGGCGAAUAGAGAAUCAAAUGGUCUACUCUAGGUCGGUGCCGU
This 1559-nucleotide ribosomal RNA is filed under the name Cylindrospermopsis curvispora GIHE-G2. RNAcentral describes it as "bacterial SSU rRNA". It matches the Rfam family "Bacterial small subunit ribosomal RNA". The record is from RNAcentral. Lineage: Bacteria; Bacillati; Cyanobacteriota; Cyanophyceae; Nostocales; Aphanizomenonaceae.